CCCGCCCCCACCCUCCGUCCCCAACACCUGCUCCUUCCCAGACCCUCAUCCCCCUGCCCCAGUCUCGCUCUUCAGCGCACCCCCGGCACCUCCAUUGCGUCCCCUCCCCCCACCUCCUCGUAGCGCCCCCAUCUGCUCCCCGCCCCCGCCCGCCGGGGAAAGCCCAGCUGACGCUUCCGGCACCGCCCCCUUCCCGGCAGGGCCGCUCCCCGCCCUUCCCGCCCGCGGGAGCAACACCGCCCCCCGCGCCCCACCCCGCGCCCCGCCGCCCGCCCGGGUCCCCCAAGCCCGCUCUGCGCAGGGCGGGGUCCUUCCUCUGCAAAGGGCGGACCGAAGACCCGGGCGCCGGGCAGAGGCUGGAGGGGGGCCCGGGUGGGGUGAAUCCCCAGUGGGUGCCCGCUCCCCACCCCCACCGCGACCACCAGCCCCCGCUCCGAGCAGGGACUCCGAGGCUUGCGGGUGACCCUCGAGUGGUGGCCGCCCUGUGGCCCAGAGAGCCCCGUCGCAGGCAGCCCCCAGGUCAGCUGAGGACAUGGCUGAGGCGCCAAGACCGCCUGCCACUCUGGAGCCAGCCACAGACAGGCAGCGCCAGGGAGGUGUACAGGCAAAGGCACUCUGUCCAGCGGGCACCACUGGCGGUGGACGCGACGGGAAGGGGCCUGCACUCUUGGGGUGGGUGAGCCUGGGGUGAGAGUCCAGGGGGCACAACCUUGAGAACAGUGUCCUCGGGGGGCUGCUGGUGCCCGCCCCUGAAGCUCUGGAAAAACAACAGAAGGCUGCAUGGAGAGGCCAGGAGAACACGCACAGACUCAGUGACCAGAGGGGCCACCAAUAGGUGACCCCAUCCCCGGGGGUCUGCUGUGCCCCGGCCUCGGUGCUGGCUGGGAAGAAACAGGAUGUCUCCAAACCGUGCCUCCUCCGUGGGAGAGGCCGGCCCCCUGCCCCGGCUCCCCAGGACCUGCCCGAGACCCUCCUGGGAUUACCCAGGACCUGCCCGAGACCCUCCUGGGAUUAAGUUGCAGUGUAUCCUGGUGGGGAUGUGCUGGCCCAGUGACAAAGGGGCCACAGCCUGAAGGAGCCCGGGACCCGAAGCCGUGCCCAGCCAGAUAAGCUGCAUGUGGUGGACGGCGGAGAGCUGACGGGUUGUGGGCCCUUUUCUGAGGACUAGGACCCCAGGAGGCGGUGUCCUCUGCUGCUCUGUUUCACGGCCCAGAGGCUCCUGGAGUGUGGGACACACGUGAGGAGGGGUGAAUGUCAGAACAGCCACCGCAGACAGGGGCUGAAAGUCAUGUGGCACCACAGAUCCCAGCUGUCCUCUGGAACUGAGAGCAGGGGACGGUCACAGCACUGGACUGGCUGACAGGGACGGGGGUGAUGGCCAGGCAGCAGCAUUUGACCAUCAGUGGCUGUGAAGGCAGCUCUCUAAUGAGUUGCAGGGCUGGAGCGGGCCCAGGGUCAGAGCUGCGUGGGGUUGUGGAGGUGGCUGAUAGAACAGCAUGUUCCUGGGAGAGGGACAGGCAGCCCACAAGAGACUGCUCAGCUUGUUGGAGCAAAAUAUAUUAGGGUUGUGUGAUGCGGAGGUCAAGGGUACUCGCUCCAAUAAAAAGUCAGGGCCGGUCGUGGUGGCUCAAGCCUGUAAUCCCAGCACUCUGCGAGGCCAAGGCAGGUGGAUCACUUUGAGGUCGGGAGUUCAAGAGCAGCCUGCUCAACAUAGUGAAACCCCAUCUCUACUAAAAAUACAACAGUUAGCUGGGCGUGGUGGCAGGUGCCUGUAAUCUCAGCUACUCGGGAGGCUGAGGCAGGAGAAUUGCUUAAACCUGGGAGACAGAGGUUGCAGUGACCUGAGAUCACACCACCGCACUCUAGCCUGGGCAACACAGAGAGACUCUUUCUUGAAAAUAGAUAAAUAAGGCCGGGCGUGGUGGCUCACGCCUGUAAUCCCAGCACUUUAGGAAGCCGAGGUGGGCGGAUCACGAGGUCAGGAGUUCAAGACCAGCCUGACCAAUGUGGUGAAACCCCCAUCUCUACUAAAAAUACAAAAAUUAGCCGGGCGUGGUGGUGCAUGCCUGUAAUCCCAGCUACUCGGGAGGCUGAGGCAGGAGAAUCACUUGAAUCCGGGAGGCAGAGGCUGCAGUGAGCCGAGAUCGCGCCACUGCACUGUCAGCCUGGGCUACAGAGUGAGAUUCUGUCUCAAAAAUACAUAAAUAGGGCCGGGUGCUGUGUCUCACACCUGUAAUCCCAGCACUUUGGGAGGCCGAGGCGGGUGGAUCACGAGGUCAGGAGAUCGAGACCAUCCUGGCUAACACGGCGAGACCCCCGUCUCUACUAAAAAUGCAAAAAAUUAGCCGGGCGUGGUGGCAGGCGCCUGUAGUCCCAGCUACUCGGGAGGCUGAGGCAGGAGAGUAG
This 2406-nucleotide long non-coding RNA is filed under the name Homo sapiens (human). RNAcentral's name for it is "HSALNT0279328". The stretch from base 2046 to 2194 matches the Rfam family "Metazoan signal recognition particle RNA". Lineage: Eukaryota; Metazoa; Chordata; Mammalia; Primates; Hominidae. The record is from RNAcentral.